Molecule: unclassified non-coding RNA, 459 nt
Filed under: Musa acuminata subsp. microcarpa
Lineage: Eukaryota; Viridiplantae; Streptophyta; Magnoliopsida; Zingiberales; Musaceae
Description: partial external transcribed spacer
Source: RNAcentral
GCAUGUGAGUGGUGAUGGAUUUGUAUGCCGCGGUGGGCUCCCUGCUAUUGUGCAGUUGACCACCGACGCCGCAAGUCUCUUCAAUGGCACUCUGUUUGAAUGGAGAUGCGUGUGUUGCCUGUACAAUCUACCUAGUUCCUUUGGAAAUAGACAUUGUUUACCUCGCUUAUCCACUUCUCAUGUCCUAUGUGAAUGAGGAGUGUCGAUGUCCGUGCACCUUGUGUGUCCUCGAACGAUUGCAUGUCUCAGACCUCUCGUUUCGAGUGGCUCCAGUGUUCACGUGAGUGCUCUUGGAUGCAGUGGAUAAGAAUGUACCAUGGGUCUUCGGACUCUUGGCACAUGAUCGGUUGGCUUUCUUAGUCGCCCUUCGACGGAUGACGGCCUUCCCAUCGUUGCCCCCCUUUCCCUUGUGGUAAUGGGUCGGCAUGUUGGGCUUGGCGUCGUAGAGGACGUGCUACC